CCACCCGACCCCAUACCGAACUCGGAAGUGAAACGUGUCAUCGCCGAUGAUAGUUUGGGAGUUCCCAUGCGAAAGUAGGUCACUGCCAGGG
This 91-nucleotide ribosomal RNA is filed under the name Gammaproteobacteria bacterium. Lineage: Bacteria; Pseudomonadati; Pseudomonadota; Gammaproteobacteria. The record is from RNAcentral.